Molecule: long non-coding RNA, 4231 nt
Organism: Oncorhynchus nerka (sockeye salmon)
Lineage: Eukaryota; Metazoa; Chordata; Actinopteri; Salmoniformes; Salmonidae
Exons: 8
Source: RefSeq, a predicted model, not a curated record
CCUCUUCAAAUUAGGGCUAAUUGGAAAAGCUGUUCAAAAGAUGACAUUGUAUAAUUUUUUUGUACUCCCUGACAAAGGAUAUUCAGCCGAAAUGCGUCAGAUUAUUAAAAUGUUGUUUCUUUUGAACAUGCCAUACAAAUAAAGGCAUUUUAAUUCAUUAUCUGAAGAGAGCCUUGGUCCUCCUUUCUUUUUGAUUACCAGGUUCUAUUGUGCUGGAAAUGGAACCCGGCUGUUCUGUGCUCCGCCUCCACAGUAAUCAAGGCGACAGACAGGGACACAUUCAAUACUGCCUUGCAUGCUCUUGCCUGCAUCUAGGUGAUCUAGGGUGUAAUCAUUAGUAUAACAGUUGCACAUAAGAGUUUCUAUUGGACAAAUACCGGUAUUUUUAUCCCCAUGACCAUUUGCUCAUUGUAUACCGUAAUUUCCGGACUAUAAGCCGAUACUUUUUUCCCACGCUUUGACCGGCUAAUUUAUGGAUUUUUCCCGCUUUCACAAGAUUCAUGCCGCCAAAAAACUGAGCACCGUCACAUAAUGUGACGUAAAUCGAGUGCGCUCAACCUUCCCAUCAUUCUGAUUACGGUAGUCAUUUUGUCACCCUCAUCAUGGCAAAGACACGGAGAAAUGCAUAUGAUGCAGCUUUCAAGUUGAAGGCGAUCGAUCUGGCUGUUGGAAAAGGAAAUAGAGCUGUCGGACGGGAGCUUGGCCUUAAUGAGUCAAUGAUAAGACGUUGGAAACAGCAGCGUGAGGAACUGACUCAGUGCAAAAAGACAACAAAAGCUUUUAGAGGAAGAAAUGCAGAUGGCCCGAACUAGAACAUGAGCUUGAAGACUGGGUCAACACACAGAGAGCAGACGGCCGAGGUGUUUCAACUGUGCAGAUCCGACUGAAACCAUCGUGGUGUCUAAGAUUUAUGAGACGUAAGGGCCUGUCCAUCAGGGUACGGACGAGUCUGUGUCAGCAGCUCCCUCCCGACUACGAGGAAAAAGUUCCACAAAUUCACUGAUCUAAAGAUAGAGGAGCUGUAACGGCGUUCUUCGUUUGUAGAAAGAGAGUCGGACCGAAAUGCAGCGUGUAGGUUACUCAUGACUUUAAUGAAUGAAAAGGUACAUGAAAUAACUCAGAAUUACAAAACAACAAACAGAACGCGAAACCUAAAUACAGCCUAUCUGGUGAAUACAACACAGGGACAAACACCCACAAAAUCUAAAGCGAAACUGAGGCUGUCUAAAUACGGUUCCCAAUCAGAGACAACGACAAGCACCUGACUCUGAUUGGGAAAUCGCCUCAGGCAGCCAAACCUAUACCACACCCCUAAUCAGCCGCAAUCCCAACUAUACAAACCCCAACUAUACCACACCCCUAAUCAGCCGCAAUCCCAACUAUACAAACCCCAAUACGAAAACAACAUAUAAACCCAUGUCACACCCUGGGGCCUGUUGCACAAAAGUAGAAUUAAGACAUCCGGGAUAAAUGACUCAGCUGAGCUCAAUGAAGCCAAAACAUGUGCGUCCAGGCUUAAUUGGUUGCACAAAGACCAAGCCAGGAUGAGCAGACACGGAUUCAUUAAGCCAGGUGAAACCAAUCCUGGAUAGGUGCGCGCUCACGGCUCACUCAAAUAGACCCCGCCACAGAUCACAGAUGAACUGAUUUACCAUGGCAACUAGAGCCGCGUACUUUUCCCCGUCGGAAGCACAAAUCCUCAUGGAGGCAUACGAGGAGGUAAAAGAUAUAAUUAAGAAGAAAGGCAACACCGCCACAGUGAUAAAGCAAAGAGAAAAAGCGUGGCAAAGUAUUGCAGACCGCCUGAAUGCGUAAGUAGUGCACAAUUACACACUCACCGCUCCGCUGAAACAUCACAAUUACAAUUCAAAUAUUUAAUUCACAUCUCCAAAAAUGCAGUUGUACUGUAAUUAUGAAACGGUUAAAUUUUUAAUUGAAAUGUACUGCAGAUAUGAGUGAAAUUGUGUAAAGUAACUCCAUCACACUGUAUAAAGCUAUGAUACAUUUUUUGAUAUUUUUACUGAAAACAAGACAAAAAUACCAAGUAAUUUUUGCAGUGUGACUCCAUUAAAUGUGUGUGUGUGUAGAUUAAACAUGAACGGGCCAAAACGGACAUGGCAGCAGGUCAAAAUCAAAUACAAGAACAUUCUGCAGAAUGCAGUGAAAAAGAAUACCCACAGACAAGGCACGGGUGGUGGGUCACCAAAGGCUGACCUUACCCCAGCAGAGGACAUGGCCUUGGAGCUAAAUAAAGGCAGGCCCGUCUUAGAGGGGAUCCCUGGGGGAAAGAGACGAGCAUAGGUUCCUCCCAAGAUGCCACCCGCUUCAUUCAAGUGCCUGGCAGCACUGCGUUCCUGUUAGAGCCACCAGCACAAGCACCAGACGAUGCUGAUCCAGGUGAAGGCCCCAGUGCAGCUGCAACAGCACAUGAUGGAGACGAUGAUGAGGAGGAGACCAUCUCUCUGGAUUCCAGAAGGCAUGAGGACCCAGAUGCUAUACAGUGGGAAAACCAGCCUGGCAACAUAGUGCGUAUUAAUAAAAGGACACCACAUCCUGCCAAAUUCCAGCUGCGCUAAUUGUAUUGUGUUCACAGAGCUCACAAGCUAUCAGAAAGUUGUAUGGCAACCACCUCCGGCGCCAAAUAGAACUGGCAGACAUAGACAUUCAGUACAAGAAGAAAAAGAUGGAAAAUCUUGCACUGGAGUCGAAAUAAAAAAGAGGACAAUUAGGAAACUGGACCUUGAAAUAAAAAAACUUGAGAGGGAGCUCCAAGAAGAUGACACAGCUCAAAAUAAAAAUUAGGUAUAUUCUCGUAAAGUCAAGUGAGCCAUGACAUGAGCUCUUAUUGUGAGCACACAGGACGGUGGCAUCUUUCUAAGGUUUUUUUUUUCCAGCAAUCAGUACAACCAAGUCAUCGUUAUAAGGCAUCGCCCUCUUUUGCCCACCCCCAGCACCAGGUGUGGCCACUAGCCUAUAUGAAGGCCCAAAAUUGUGUGUUCCUUUCUGCUCUGACAAUGGCAUGCCCAUUCGUGCGAGAUGUGGUGGAUGAAGAAGCACUUGUGCUGAGGAGAGCCUUCAGGCGAGAAAGGGUCUUCAUGGACCGGUUGGACCCACUGGCCUUCCCUGAUGACCAUCUAUAUGAAAGAUACAGGUUUUCUGCAGAUGGCAUCAGGUAUCUAUGCAGAACUACUGGGUCCCAGGAUUAAGCACCGCACUGCACGGAGCCAUGCACUGAGUGUGGAGCAAAUGGUUUGUGUGGCCUUGCGCUUUUUGCUAGUGGAGCCUUCCUGUACUCAGUGGGGGAUGCAGAACAGCUGAACAAGGCCACAAUUUGCCGCACAAUAAGGAGUGUGUGUCUGGCUAUCAAAGCAUUAGCAGAUGUCUUCAUCUCCUUCCUGGCCACAGAAGACUCUGUGACAUCAAAGAGGUUCUAUAGGAUUGCAGGUAAGAGGAUCUACAAAUUACAGGACAACUGUUAACACAUAGUAGGAUACUCAUUACUUUGUGUGACAGGUUUCCCCAAUGUCAUUGGUGCAGUGGACUGCACACACAAGGAUAAAGCCCCUCAGGUGCCCAUGAGGCCGAUUUUGUGAAUAGGAAAUCCUUUCACAGCAUUAAUGUUCAGAUGGUCUGCAAUGCUGACUGUGUGAUCAGCAAUGUUGUGGCAAAAUGGCCUGGCUCAGUCCAUGACUCCAGAAUCUUUCGGGCCUCUGAAAUCUCUCAGUGCCUAUCACAAGGUGAAUUCUCUGGUGUGUUGCUGGGAGACAGGGGUAUGGCUGCCAGCCUUUUCUCCUGACACCUUUCACAGACCCCCAGGAAGCACAGCAGGCCUACAACCAUGCCCAUGCCAGGACCAGGGCCAGAGUUGAAAUGACCUUUGGCCUCCUGAAGGCACGCUUUCACUGCCUUCACAAAUUAAGGGUCAGCCCUGUUAGGGCAUGUGAUAUUACUGUGGCUUGUGCUGUCCUCCACAAUGUGGCCUGCCUGAGGAAGGAGAGGGCCCCCAGAGUGCCACCAGCCAUGGACUGGGACAAUCCGGCAAUCUUCCCUGAUGACGACAGUGGUCGGCUGCUGAGGGACCAAUAUGUGUUGAAUUAUUUUAGUUAGUAUGUGUGCUUUCAAUUUUGGGUAAAUAUGUCCUGCGGUGGCAGAGGAAUUUGGGUUUUUUGGGUUCGUUUUUUGACGAAUUUGGCCUCUUAUGAUGUUUGUGCGGUAUACUGUGUGUAAUACA